RNAcentral lists this long non-coding RNA (2105 nucleotides) under Rattus norvegicus (Norway rat). Its description in RNAcentral is "long non-coding RNA NONRATT002717". Lineage: Eukaryota; Metazoa; Chordata; Mammalia; Rodentia; Muridae. The record is from RNAcentral.
CGGCGGCCCCGCUGGUGCUGGCCGCGGUGCGGCCGAAGGCUGUCCGAGGUAGGCUCCUCUCGGCUCUCCUAUGGAGAAGGCGGCGCUCACUGCAGUCCCGGAUGCACGAACUUCCCGCGGGACGUCGCCGGAGACGGUGGCUGUGUGCGCGCAGGAGCGAGCUGCCUGCGUGGGGGUCUGAGCGGGCACUCGGGUCGCGUCCCGGAGGGAGCCGCGUCGCCCGCCGGCCUGCGACGGCCCUAAGGGUGGAACUACUCUGCCAUGGUUAAAUACUUUAAAUGGGAAUAAAGGAUAGCAUUUCCAAGAAAAUGAGAAUGAAUAAAUCAUCUCUGUUUUUUAAAAGAAAGACCAUAUUAAACUUACAUGGUCUCUCACUGAACCUGUGGCUGAGCUGGCAAGAAGCAAGCCUGAGCAGUCCUAUUGUCUGCUUUCUCCCCUGUUCCUAGUGCCGCCGCCAUUAGAGGUUUGAAGACUGCAUCAUCCUGCCUCCAGUACAAGCAGUUUCUCUGUUCGGUGAUCAAUGUCACUCACAGGAACUUAAGUAACUAACGAAAUGAGCCUGGGGCGUGGAAAAUAUGACUUUUAUAUUGGUCUUGGAUUGGCUAUGACCUCCAGCAUUUUCAUUGGAGGGAGUUUCAUUUUGAAAAAAAAAGGCCUUCUGCGACUUGCCAGAAAAGGCUCCAUGAGAGCAGGUCAAGGAGGCCAUGCAUAUCUUAAGGAAUGGUUAUGGUGGGCUGGACUGCUGUCAAUGGGAGCUGGUGAAGUGGCCAAUUUUGCUGCAUAUGCAUUUGCUCCGGCCACACUGGUGACUCCACUAGGUGCACUCAGCGUCCUUGUAAGUGCCAUUCUGUCUUCAUACUUCCUAAAUGAAAGACUUAAUCUUCAUGGGAAAAUUGGGUGUUUACUAAGUAUUCUAGGAUCUACAGUUAUGGUCAUUCAUGCUCCAAAGGAAGAGGAGAUUGAGACCUUAAAUGAAAUGUCACAUAAGUUAGGUGACCCAGGUUUUGUGGUCUUUGCAACAUUUGUGGUCAUUGUGGCCUUGAUAUUCAUCUUUGUGGUGGGACCUCGACAUGGACAGACAAACAUUCUUGUGUAUAUAACAAUCUGCUCUGUGAUUGGAGCAUUUUCAGUCUCCUGCGUGAAGGGUUUGGGUAUCACUAUAAAAGAGUUGUUGGCUGGAAAGCCUGUUCUGCAGCACCCCCUCGCCUGGAUUCUGCUGCUUAGCCUUGUGGUCUGUGUGAGCACACAAAUUAAUUACCUAAACCGGGCUCUGGACAUUUUCAACACUUCCAUUGUGACUCCAAUAUAUUAUGUGUUCUUUACAACUUCAGUUUUGACGUGUUCAAAAUGCAAAUAGGUACAAAAAGGUUAGGCCAAUGUAAGGAACACUCUCCAGCUUCAGACCUGCCCACUUCAAAGUCAUGUAUUAGCUUAAAAAAAUUCACCCUCUUCCAUGCUACCCCCAUUAACAGGAAGAACUGAGGUUUGGGCCUGUGCCUGUUUCCUGUUUCCUCCCUACAGUUAUAUAGUGACUUAGCUUUUGUGAAGAAUUUUAUUUUGGAGUGGGGGUUAGCUUUGUUCUACUAUUGGCACUCUUAAGGAUACUUGCCUUGUGGGCCAUACUGGGUGUAGUCACAGUCCACAAAUGUUGUAAAACUGAGCUACAUUUCCAGAAUUCCUAUGUAACUUAAAUACCAGAGAGAACAGGUUUCCCCUGCACCCUCACCGAUAUACUUUGUCUAUUUUAUGUACUGUAUCUAUGUCUUAUUUUGCACAUAAAAAAUAGCCAAUGUUCAUUCCCUUGGGGGUGAAAAGUUUCCUCAUUGAGAAUGUGCGUGUUGUAUAUACAACACUUUAUAUAUAUGUAAUCUUGUACACAAGCAUUUUAUUUGGCCUAUCACUUGGUAAUAUGGUUGUUAACUUUUAAAAUCUACACUUCAUAGGGUCAGGACAGAUGCCGUUACAGCUAUUCAUAUCAACAAAAAAUAUUUUAGGUAACUUUUUGAUAAAUAGGCUUGUUUAAAAUGUAACUCAGGUUUACAGUACAACCGAAUAGUACCUGUGUUUUAUUUUCUGUGUAAAAUAAAGCUCAAAGCUUUUGGAUU